RNAcentral lists this ribosomal RNA (663 nucleotides) under Lysinibacillus sp. RNAcentral describes it as "bacterial SSU rRNA". It matches the Rfam family "Bacterial small subunit ribosomal RNA", at positions 782 to 1442 of the family's 1533-position model. The record is from RNAcentral. Lineage: Bacteria; Bacillati; Bacillota; Bacilli; Caryophanales; Bacillaceae.
AUACCCUGGUAGUCCACGCCGUAAACSAUGAGUGCUAAGUGUYAGGGGGUUUCCGCCCCUUAGUGCUGCAGCUAACGCAUUAAGCACUCCGCCUGGGGAGUACGGUCGCAAGACUGAAACUCAAAGGAAUUGACGGGGGCCCGCACAAGCGGUGGAGCAUGUGGUUUAAUUCGAAGCAACGCGAASAACCUUACCAGGUCUUGACAUCCCGUUGACCACUGUAGAGAUAUAGUUUCCCCUUCGGGGGCAACGGUGACAGGUGGUGCAUGGUUGUCGUCAGCUCGUGUCGUGAGAUGUUGGGUUAAGUCCCGCAACGAGCGCAACCCUUGAUCUUAGUUGCCAUCAUUUAGUUGGGCACUCUAAGGUGACUGCCGGUGACAAACCGGAGGAAGGUGGGRAUGACGUCAAAUCAUCAUGCCCCUUAUGACCUGGGCUACACACKUGCUACAAUGGACGAUACAAACGGUUGCCAACUCGCGAGAGGGAGCUAAUCCGAUAAAGUCGUUCUCAGUUCGGAUUGUAGGCUGCAACUCGCCUACAUGAAGCCGGAAUCGCUAGUAAUCSCGGAUCAKCAUGCCGCGGUGAAUACGUUCCCGGGCCCUUGUACACACCGCCCGUCACACCACGAGAGUUUGUAACACCCRAAGUCGGUGAGGUAACCUU